This 445-nucleotide ribosomal RNA is filed under the name uncultured bacterium. RNAcentral's name for it is "bacterial SSU rRNA". It matches the Rfam family "Bacterial small subunit ribosomal RNA", at positions 330 to 792 of the family's 1533-position model. The record is from RNAcentral.
GCCAGACUCCUACGGGAGGCAGCAGUGGGGAAUAUUGGGCAAUGGGGGAAACCCUGACCCAGCGACGCCGCGUGAGGGAAGAAGGUUUUCGGAUUGUAAACCUCUGUCCUUGGUGACGAUAAUGACGGUAGCCAAGGAGGAAGCCACGGCUAACUACGUGCCAGCAGCCGCGGUAAUACGUAGGUGGCGAGCGUUGUCCGGAAUUACUGGGUGUAAAGGGAGCGUAGGCGGCGGCGCAAGUCUGAAGUGAAAGCCCGUGGCUCAACCGCGGAACCGCUUUGGAAACUGCGAGGCUGGAGUGCUGGAGAGGUAAGCGGAAUUCCUGGUGUAGCGGUGAAAUGCGUAGAUAUCAGGAGGAACACCGGUGGCGAAGGCGGCUUACUGGACAGUGACUGACGUUGAGGCUCGAAAGCGUGGGGAGCGAACAGGAUUAGAUACCCGUGUA